CAAUAGGAGGCGUUUAUAGAGGACUUUGGUGGAGGUUGGCAGUUUUUAAGACUCAGAAUUGUCUCUGUUACAUUCCACAGCAAGGAAGGGCUCCGUGACCUCCCUCACCUGGGCUGCUUGGCAUCAUGAGCAUUAAAUGGUGAAGUGUUGACGAGUAGAAAACUUCCCUACAAAGAAGAUUGGCAGCCAGUGGAGUUUGAGUGGGAAGGUGAUGUGGUCAGACUCGUGCUUAAGAAAGAUCACCGUGACAACUGAGUAGAGAAUGGACCAGAUUGGAGAGAGACUUGAGAUAGGUGGAUCAACGAACAGGUUAUGGUAAUACUCUGAGGAUUAGGUGAUGAGGGCCUGAACUCAUGGGGGUGGCAAUACAGAGGAGAGAAAGGGACCUAGGUGA
Non-coding RNA from Phascolarctos cinereus (koala), 394 nucleotides. NCBI's taxonomy places the organism in Eukaryota, Metazoa, Chordata, Mammalia, Diprotodontia, Phascolarctidae. The record is from RefSeq and is a predicted model, not a curated record.